RNAcentral lists this ribosomal RNA (542 nucleotides) under Ganoderma sp. BRFM 1035. RNAcentral describes it as "eukaryotic LSU rRNA". The stretch from base 132 to 285 matches the Rfam family "5.8S ribosomal RNA". The record is from RNAcentral. Lineage: Eukaryota; Fungi; Basidiomycota; Agaricomycetes; Polyporales; Polyporaceae.
UUACUGUGGGUUUUACGGGUCGUGACAUGGGCUCGUUUAUUCGGGCUUGUUGAGCGCACUUGUUUGCCUGCGUUUAUCACAAACUCUAUAAAGUAUUAGAAUGUGUAUUGCGAUGUAACGCAUCUAUAUACAACUUUCAGCAACGGAUCUCUUGGCUCUCGCAUCGAUGAAGAACGCAGCGAAAUGCGAUAAGUAAUGUGAAUUGCAGAAUUCAGUGAAUCAUCGAAUCUUUGAACGCACCUUGCGCUCCUUGGUAUUCCGAGGAGCAUGCCUGUUUGAGUGUCAUGAAAUCUUCAAUCUAUAAGCUUCUUAAUUGGAGUUUGUAGUCUUGGACUUGGAGGCUUGUCGGUCCUUUACAGGUCGGCUCCUCUUAAAUGCAUUAGCUUGGUUCCUUGCGGAUCGGCUUGUCGGUGUGAUAAUGUCUACGCCGCGACCGUGAAGCGUGUUUGGGCGAGCUUCUAACUGUCUCGUUAUGGAGACAACUUUAUGACCUCUGACCUCAAAUCAGGUAGGACUACCCGCUGAACUUAAGCAUAUCAAUA